This 618-nucleotide ribosomal RNA is filed under the name Triticum aestivum (bread wheat). RNAcentral describes it as "partial small subunit ribosomal RNA". The record is from RNAcentral. Lineage: Eukaryota; Viridiplantae; Streptophyta; Magnoliopsida; Poales; Poaceae.
AUGGGCUUUGGGUUAUGUAGAUCAAAAAUGAUGAAUGGGAUUGUGGCACUCCACUCGCCGCCAAUGCGGAAGGAUGUCGCCGAAAAGAAUGGAACGCUGCUUCGCUCUGCUGGAUGUGUUGGAUCCCAUAUAAGAAGCUCUCUCUUUACCCGAUCAUUCAAACAUUUUGUGGGUGGGGCGCCUACUCUAUUGUUGCGUAGCAAUAGAAGCCUGCUCAUGCAGCUUCGAUGGUGCUUUUUCGCCUUCUCUUCGCUCUGGACAGGAGUGCUAAUGGACACGGGGAGGGAGCAGGCGAAGUGUGUCGUUCAUAAUGGAAACAAAGACACCACUACUUCGCCUCUUUGUUGGACCGCCGGCGCAAACAUGAUGGUCUCUGACCAGGACCAGGAACCAAUUCGAAUUUGGAUCUUGACAUGUCGGUUGUUUUUCACCAUAGGCAUCUUGCCAGGAAGUUGGUGGGAUCAUCAUGAAUUAGGUCAGGGUGGCUGGUGGUUUCGGGAUCCCAUAGAAAAUGCGUCUUUUAUGCCUCAGGUAUUAGCCACAGCUCGUAUUCAUUCAGUAAUUCUACCCCUUCUUCAUUCUUGGACUUCGCUUCUGAAUAUUUUGACUCUUCCAUGA